UACGGGAGGCAGCAGUGGGGAAUAUUGCACAAUGGGCGCAAGCCUGAUGCAGCCAUGCCGCGUGUAUGAAAAAGGCCUUCGGGUUGUAAAGUACUUUCAGUCGUGAGGAAGGUGUUAAGGUUAAUAACCUUAGCAAUUGACGUUAGCGACAGAAGAAGCACCGGCUAACUCCGUGCCAGCAGCCGCGGUAAUACGGAGGGUGCGAGCGUUAAUCGGAAUUACUGGGCGUAAAGGGCACGCAGGCGGUUAAUUAAGUUGGAUGUGAAAUCCCCGGGCUUAACCUGGGAAUGGCAUUCAAGCUGGUUAGCUAGAGUCUUGUAGAGGGGGUAGAAUUCCAUGUGUAGCGGUGAAAUGCGUAGAGAUGUGGAGGAAUACCGGUGGCGAAGGCGGCCCCUGGACAAAGACUGACGCUCAUGUGCGAAAGCGUGGGGAGCGAAACGAGGGAUUAGAU
Molecule: ribosomal RNA, 451 nt
Filed under: uncultured bacterium
Lineage: Bacteria
Description: bacterial SSU rRNA
Rfam family: Bacterial small subunit ribosomal RNA
Source: RNAcentral